CAUGUCGGCGUGGGGCACAGCAGCCGCCGAGGGAGCCGAGCCGGCGGAUGUGGAGGCUGCCGAGCGGCGGUGCUCGCGUGAAGGAGGAAUAUGAUGAUGCGUGGAGUGGCGUGGGGUAACAACCAUCUCCAUCGAGUGGCGGUGCUCGCGUGAAGGAUGAGUUCGUGUUAGUCCCCCUAUCCCGAUCUGGAUUUUAUGGAUCUUUCAAAAAAAGUUCUUGUUAGGGAUUUGAGUUUUUUCCAUUUAACAUGCUCUCAUGUAGGGUAGUAGCACUCUCUCGGCUGUGGCUGCACGUUCAACUGGCCAGUCAAGGAGCUCCAGCAAGCAGGUCCGCCUACUCUCCUUUCCCCUGAGCUCCUGCAACUACACAAAUCAUCUUCCUGGUAUUUUCUCACUUUUGAUUCACAGACUAUGUAUUGUAGUUAGUUCUGGUGAUUAUCAGUUGAUCUAAGACCACUGUACGUGCAUAUCUCAGACUUGAGAAGAAUGCACAUAGCCUUGCUGAGAACAUAAUAUUGUUUCGAUGAUUAUCUUGUUUGUGCGCUUGUUUUGAUAAAACACAGGGGUUAUAGAGGAAUUGAAACAUGUUACAUUGAAAUCAGAGAGCAUGUCGUUGUUGCUUAAUUCCGUUAAUCUUGGCUGUCACUGUAUACCUUGAGAUUCAGGUAGAAGCAAUAGAAUCCAGGAAAAAAAUACCUACCUGCAUGUGUUCCUUAGAGAGUUUGUUUUCUUCAUACCUCACCAUUCUUAAUAUAUAUGGUCAUCUAUGUUCUGGAUAUCACACUCGACGGCCUCCCUUCAUGGCACAAAACUGAAACUACGCCAUGAAUAUAUUUAUUCAGUGAAAUAGCUGAUUCCAAUCAUUCAUCAACUAGCUUUGUUUUAAUCACAGCAAUAAGUCAUGAUAUCUUGAAAUUGCCUGAUUGGUGAUUAUACAUUUUAUAUGAUGUUUUUCACCUGCAAGCUCUGCACUUCUUUCCUUUCAACUUUAUCUCUCUUGCUUUAUUUCAUGAAUAUAUUCCUCUUCUCAUUCCAUCAUUCAGUCUGUUUGCAACAAAAUCCUGAUUCAUAGUCUGUUUUUUUUUAAUGCUUGGCACAUCCUAAACAAAAUCCUGAUUAAACGAUAGGCUUGGCAUAUCUUUUUUUAUCACUAUGGUUGCUUUUAUCCGCAACUGAUUUCUCUGAUUCCUUUCCCAUGCUGUAAUGCAAUUGUUUUGGGCAAUUCCCCAAGGCCUUAUGUUUUAUGUUAUUGGGAACUGCAGGACACCCAGCGAGUGUUUAGGAUCCCACACACGACAGUUCUUGGCAUGCUCCUGGCACACCUUGGACUAUCACCGGCUCAGUAUGAACGCGUUGUUCAUGAGGACGGCAAGACCCAUGUUGUAAAUUGUCUGUAAGCGACGUGUUGCCGUAUCUUCUAUGCCUAAAACGUCUGUAAGCGACGUGUUGUCGUAUCUUCUAUGCCUAAACGCGUCUAUGUUAUGCCUAAAACUUAAAGUUAUCUAUGCAUAGUUGUAAAUUGUCUUUAAGCGACGUGUUGUCGUAUCUUCUAUGCCUAAGAUAUUUGGUGCUAACCUAUCGUGAAACAUGAUUUCUAUGUUCAUGCAUUGUUAAGUAGCUUCUUAU
This 1626-nucleotide long non-coding RNA is filed under the name Triticum aestivum (bread wheat). RNAcentral's name for it is "long non-coding RNA (TAES_LNC018518)". Lineage: Eukaryota; Viridiplantae; Streptophyta; Magnoliopsida; Poales; Poaceae. The record is from RNAcentral.